AUUUUAAUAGCUUAUAAAGAGCAUUACACUGAAGAUGUAAAGGAAAGAUUUAUUCUUUUAAGAUA
Molecule: transfer RNA, 65 nt
Filed under: Dermestes ater
Lineage: Eukaryota; Metazoa; Arthropoda; Insecta; Coleoptera; Dermestidae
Description: tRNA-Phe
Rfam family: tRNA
About the family: Transfer RNA (tRNA) molecules are approximately 80 nucleotides in length. Their secondary structure includes four short double-helical elements and three loops (D, anti-codon, and T loops).
Source: RNAcentral